GGGAGCAUGUGCACGCCCGUCACCUUUAUUUCUCCACCUGUGCACACACUGUAG
This 54-nucleotide ribosomal RNA is filed under the name Coprinopsis sp. CBM-FB-39586. Its description in RNAcentral is "partial 18S ribosomal RNA". The record is from RNAcentral. Lineage: Eukaryota; Fungi; Basidiomycota; Agaricomycetes; Agaricales; Psathyrellaceae.